CCAAUAGCGUAUAUUAAAGUUGUUGCGGUUAAAAAGCUCGUAGUUGAAUUUCGGAAUUGAUGCAUUGGUCGUGCCUUAAGGGGCAUGAACUGGUGUAGCCAAUUUCUCAUCUUCUGGUGAAUUGUGAUGUUCUUAAUUGGGUGUCUCAAUGAACUGGAAUUUUUUACUUUGAAAAAAUUAGAGUGUUUAAAGCAGGCAGUGAUUUGCUUGAAUACAUUAGCAUGGAAUAAUGAAAUAGGACGGUGGUUCUGUUUUGUUGGUUUCUAGGAUCACGUAAUGAUUAAUAGGGACAGUUGGGGGCAUUAGUAUUCAAUUGUCAGAGGUGAAAUUCUUGGAUUUAUUGAAGACUAACUAUUGCGAAAGCAUUUGCCAAGGAUGUUUUCAUUAAUCAAGAACGAAAGUUAGGGGAUCAAAGAUGAUUAAGUAUGUCGUAGUCCUAACCAUAAACUAUGCCGACUAGGAAUCAGACGAUGUUAAUUUUUUAAUGACUCGUUUGGUACCUUACG
RNAcentral lists this unclassified non-coding RNA (506 nucleotides) under uncultured Glomeromycotina. Its description in RNAcentral is "bacterial SSU rRNA". It matches the Rfam family "Eukaryotic small subunit ribosomal RNA", at positions 591 to 1092 of the family's 1831-position model. The record is from RNAcentral. Lineage: Eukaryota; Fungi; Glomeromycota.